GCUGAAGAUUGGGGGGAAAAGCCAGAGUAUGCAUAAAGUAAUACUUAGAAGUUCCAAGUCAGCAGUGGUACCAAAAAGUACACCGAGAGUAGAAGACGGACUGCAAGCAGUACAGUGACCACUUCUAGUGACAGACGAACAGGCCAUAAAACUACCUCACUUCUUUCGGGGUGGCUCUGAUCCCCAGGCGUAUUUCAUACUUUUAACUCUGACCCUCUCUGGCUAAUUAGACCUACGUGGACCCUCAUACUGAGGCUGGGCCAUCUGAUUCCCUAUCUAAGGAGGGCAUACCAUCUCUGAACAACAGCUGAAGCUAUCUGGUCUGAGCAAGCCAGUCUGCAAAGAAAGAAAAGCAAAACCAGGGACGAGGAGACAGAGUUUUGCGAUGCAAGUCAGGCUGGCCUCCAACUCCCCGUGACCCCGGCUGAGGCUGACAUUCAGCGUGCUCAGUGAGAAAAGACAUUUUUGUGGAGUUUCCAGCUUCACUUUCUUAGACCUGCCUCCAUCUUUGCUUUGGCAGCCAUGAAAUGGCCCUGCAACCGUAUUUAAACCCCCUUCAGGCUGGCUCGAGUUUCUGGGUGCCACAUGAAACUGAAAGGAUCCAACUUACUUUCUCAAUUGAAGGUCCAUAAAACAUAAAAGCACAACUAACAAAGGCAUUAAGAACAUGACGAGUUUUUUUGAAAAAUGAUACUUGCACAGGCAAUGAUUUCUUAGAGCAGACACUAAAAAGUUGGAACUUUAUCAAAAUUAACUUUUUUUUUCUUUUGGAAAGGCAUUGCUAGGAAACAGAAAAGUAACAUAGAGGCCAGGAGAAAACGUGCAGAACACCUACACCUGCCAAAAGGCCUACAUCCAGAAAAUGGAUUGUACGUGACCCUUUCCCCAUAGCAAGAGGUUACAGAGAAGCUGUUGUCUGCAGAGGAGGAAAAAAAGUGGAGGAAUCUCUGACUUCAAAUGGAGAUGUGUGAAAUGGGGUAAA
Molecule: long non-coding RNA, 982 nt
Organism: Cavia porcellus (domestic guinea pig)
Lineage: Eukaryota; Metazoa; Chordata; Mammalia; Rodentia; Caviidae
Exons: 2
Source: RefSeq, a predicted model, not a curated record